RNAcentral lists this microRNA precursor (156 nucleotides) under Procavia capensis (Cape rock hyrax). RNAcentral's name for it is "miRNA (ENSPCAG00000019337.1)". The record is from RNAcentral. Lineage: Eukaryota; Metazoa; Chordata; Mammalia; Hyracoidea; Procaviidae.
AAUACAGCAAGCUCAAUUAAAUUUGAGGUUCAGAAAAUCAACGAAUGAUUUUUUUCUUAGCUUAAGUCUGUUCCAAAUAGUACCUGGGACAUACUUAUACUAAAAAAGUAUUUGUUUUCAUUUGAAAUUCAAAUUCACCUGAGCACUGUGUACUUU